CAACCUGGCGGCGUGCCUAUAAUGCAAGUCGAGCGGAACCUUUGGAGCUUGCUCCAUUGGUUUAGCGGCGGACGGGUGAGUAACACGUGGGCAACCUGCCCUGCAGAUCGGGAUAACUCCGGGAAACCGGUGCUAAUACCGAAUAGUUUGCGGCCUCUCCUGAGGCUGCACGGAAAGACGGUUUCGGCUGUCACUGCAGGAUGGGCCCGCGGCGCAUUAGCUAGUUGGUGGGGUAACGGCCCACCAAGGCCACGAUGCGUAGCCGACCUGAGAGGGUGAUCGGCCACACUGGGACUGAGGCACGGCCCAGACUCCUACGGGAGGCAGCAGUAGGGAAUCUUCCGCAAUGGACGCAAGUCUGACGGAGCAACGCCGCGUGAGUGACGAAGGUUUUCGGAUCGUAAAACUCUGUUGUGAGGGAAGAACACGUACCAGGUAACUACUGGUACCUUGACGGUACCUCACCAGAAAGCCACGGCUAACUACGUGCCAGCAGCCGCGGUAAU
Molecule: ribosomal RNA, 506 nt
Filed under: uncultured bacterium
Lineage: Bacteria
Description: bacterial SSU rRNA
Rfam family: Bacterial small subunit ribosomal RNA
Source: RNAcentral